RNAcentral lists this ribosomal RNA (253 nucleotides) under uncultured bacterium. RNAcentral describes it as "partial 16S ribosomal RNA". It matches the Rfam family "Bacterial small subunit ribosomal RNA", at positions 524 to 776 of the family's 1533-position model. The record is from RNAcentral.
UACGUAGGGUGCAAGCGUUAUCCGGAAUUAUUGGGCGUAAAGAGCUCGUAGGCGGUUUGUCGCGUCUGCUGUGGAAACUGGAGGCUCAACCUCCAGCCUGCAGUGGGUACGGGCAGACUAGAGUGCGGUAGGGGAGAUUGGAAUUCCUGGUGUAGCGGUGGAAUGCGCAGAUAUCAGGAGGAACACCGAUGGCGAAGGCAGAUCUCUGGGCCGUAACUGACGCUGAGGAGCGAAAGCAUGGGGAGCGAACAGG